UUUCCGUAGGUGAACCUGCGGAAGGAUCAUUACUGAAUAAAUGAGGUGCCAGGGCUGUCGCUCACCCGAAAGGUCGUUUACGCUCGAGUUUUCUCGCACCCAUCCAUCUCACCCCUAUGUGCACCACCGCCUGGGUCCCCCCCUGCCUUGUUCGGAGGGGCGCUUACGUUUUUACCCAAACUUUGUAUGCUGUUAAGUAUGUAUUUUUUGUUUUUGCGAUUUCGCUAUCAAUACAACUUACAACGACGGAUCUCUUGGCUCUCGCAUCGAUAACUACAG
This 279-nucleotide unclassified non-coding RNA is filed under the name plant metagenome. Its description in RNAcentral is "partial contains small subunit ribosomal RNA, internal transcribed spacer 1, and 5.8S ribosomal RNA". The record is from RNAcentral.